Molecule: small nuclear RNA, 157 nt
Filed under: Dasypus novemcinctus (nine-banded armadillo)
Lineage: Eukaryota; Metazoa; Chordata; Mammalia; Cingulata; Dasypodidae
Description: U1 spliceosomal RNA (ENSDNOG00000032447.1)
Rfam family: U1 spliceosomal RNA
About the family: U1 is a small nuclear RNA (snRNA) component of the spliceosome (involved in pre-mRNA splicing). Its 5' end forms complementary base pairs with the 5' splice junction, thus defining the 5' donor site of an intron. There are significant differences in sequence and secondary structure between metazoan and yeast U1 snRNAs, the latter being much longer (568 nucleotides as compared to 164 nucleotides in human).
Source: RNAcentral
AAAGUGGCAGGGGAGAAACCAGGACCACAAAAGUGGUUUUCCCAGGACAAGACUUACCCAUUGCAUCCCAGAUGUGCUGACCACUGUGAUUUUCCCAAGUGUAAAAAACUCAGCUGCAUAAUUUGUGAGGGGGGAACUGUGUUCGUGCUAUCCUCUU